Molecule: ribosomal RNA, 468 nt
Filed under: uncultured bacterium
Lineage: Bacteria
Description: partial 16S ribosomal RNA
Rfam family: Bacterial small subunit ribosomal RNA
Source: RNAcentral
GACGAACGCUGGCGGCGUGCUUAACACAUGCAAGUCGAACGGAAAGGCCCUGCUUUUGUGGGGUGCUCGAUUGGCGAACGGGUGAGUAACACGUGUGUUACCUGCCCUUGACUUUGGUAUAACUUCAGGAAACUGGGGCUAAUACCGGAUAGGAGCUCCUGCUGCAUGGUGGGGGUUGGAAAGUUUCGGCGGUUGGGGAUGGACUCGCGGCUUAUCAGCUUGUUGGUGGGGUAGUUGCUUACCAAGGCUUUGACGGGUAGCCGGCCUGAGAGGGUGACCGGCCACAAUGGGACUGAGAUACGGCCCAGACUCCUACGGGAGGCAGCAGUGGGGAAUAUUGCACAAUGGGCGGAAGCCUGAUGCAGCAACGCCGCGUGCGGGAUGACGGCCUUCGGGUUGUAAACCGCUUUCGCCUGUGACGAAGCGUGAGUGACGGUAAUGGGUAAAGAAGCACCGGCUAACUACGUG